RNAcentral lists this long non-coding RNA (640 nucleotides) under Homo sapiens (human). RNAcentral's name for it is "HSALNT0299374". The record is from RNAcentral. Lineage: Eukaryota; Metazoa; Chordata; Mammalia; Primates; Hominidae.
GUUAUCUUAAUUCUCCUCAUAAAGUUCCAUGGAAAAUACUCCACACUUCUUAUGGAGAAUGAGAAUCUGAUUUAGAAUACACAGACCAAGAAUAAAAAAGUGAAGGUGAAAAGUAAAUCCUAGAUUCCAAUACCCUCAAGUAGCUUUAUAAAGAAUAUUCACUUACGCCGGGCACAGUGGAACACAGGACACCAGUUAAAAGGGAGGCCAUGUGCUAAGGGGUGCUUAGUGGACCUUCAAAUGCCAUUACCAGUCACUUCCCAGCAUUCAAAUUGAGGAAUUUGAAACUGCUGAUUUUGUUUGAGCACCAAGGAAAUAAAGAAGCCAAACGCCAGAGCUGGGCUGUCCAUCAAUUCUCCCAUUUCGGAGACAUUCUGACUGCCAGGACCAGCCACCUACGUCAGCAUGACCACUUGGAAUUGGCCAAUUCCAGCAGGGAGUUUGAUUACACCCACAGGGCCUCAUGAGGAUUUUGGCACCUUUUGAUCCAAGACGUAAUUGACACUGAACGAAUGAUAAAUAAGCAUCUUCUUCCCUUUCUCUUGUUGUCUUCUCCAGCUUCAAUUACAACUAGAAUAUUUCUACAGAUUUAUUAGGUCAAAGGAAGCCCAGCAUUUUUUUUAUAUUAAAAAGAUGUGUU